Chenopodium quinoa (quinoa) is the source of this 80-nucleotide long non-coding RNA. RefSeq lists it as uncharacterized. The transcript is spliced from 2 exons. Lineage: Eukaryota; Viridiplantae; Streptophyta; Magnoliopsida; Caryophyllales; Amaranthaceae. The record is from RefSeq and is a predicted model, not a curated record.
UUAUGGAUAAGGCAUGGAAGAAAUUCGAGGAAACAAGGUCACCAAAGUCACCGACAGUUGAUUUGAGAUCAAAGGAAGAG